UAACGGCUCACCAAGGCAACGAUGGGUAGCUGGUCUGAGAGGACGAUCAGCCACACUGGGACUGAGACACGGCCCAGACUCCUACGGGAGGCAGCAGUGGGGAAUCUUGCGCAAUGCGCGAAAGCGUGACGCAGCACCGCCGCGUGGGGGAAGAAGGCCUUCGGGUUGUAAACCCCUUUCAGUUGGGACGAAGCUCCGUCGGUGAAUAGCCGGCUGGGGUGACGGUACCUUCAGAAGAAGCCCCUGCUAACUACGUGCCAGCAGCCGCGGUAAUACGUAGGGGGCAAGCGUUGUCCGGAAUCAUUGGGCGUAAAGAGCGUGUAGGCGGCUCGGUAAGUCCGCUGUGAAAGUCCAGGGCUCAACCCCUGGAAUGCCGGUGGAAAACUGUCGAGCUAGAGUCCGGAAGAGGCGAGUGGUAAUUCCUGGUGUAGCGGUGAAAUG
This 441-nucleotide ribosomal RNA is filed under the name uncultured Actinomycetes bacterium. RNAcentral's name for it is "bacterial SSU rRNA". It matches the Rfam family "Bacterial small subunit ribosomal RNA", at positions 258 to 688 of the family's 1533-position model. The record is from RNAcentral. Lineage: Bacteria; Bacillati; Actinomycetota; Actinomycetes.